AGUUUGAUCCUGGCUCAGAUUGAACGCUGGCGGCAUGCUUUACACAUGCAAGUCGAACGGUAACAGGUCUUCGGAUGCUGACGAGUGGCGAACGGGUGAGUAAUACAUCGGAACGUGCCUAGUAGUGGGGGAUAACUACUCGAAAGAGUAGCUAAUACCGCAUGAGAUCUACGGAUGAAAGCAGGGGACCUUCGGGCCUUGUGCUACUAGAGCGGCUGAUGGCAGAUUAGGUAGUUGGUGGGGUAAAGGCUUACCAAGCCUGCGAUCUGUAGCUGGUCUGAGAGGACGACCAGCCACACUGGGACUGAGACACGGCCCAGACUCCUACGGGAGGCAGCAGUGGGGAAUUUUGGACAAUGGGCGAAAGCCUGAUCCAGCAAUGCCGCGUGCAGGAUGAAGGCCCUCGGGUUGUAAACUGCUUUUGUACGGAACGAAAAGCCUGGGGCUAAUAUCCCCGGGUCAUGACGGUACCGUAAGAAUAAGCACCGGCUAACUACGUGCCAGCAGCCGCGGUAAUACGUAGGGUGCAAGCGUUAAUCGGAAUUACUGGGCGUAAAGCG
Molecule: ribosomal RNA, 560 nt
Filed under: uncultured bacterium
Lineage: Bacteria
Description: bacterial SSU rRNA
Rfam family: Bacterial small subunit ribosomal RNA
Source: RNAcentral